GAGCAAAUCCCAAUCUCUCUGAGUCUGUUUCCUAAACUGGAGUAGAUGAUCUUUGAUGUCCCUUCUGGUUCUAAAACUAUUUUCUCUAUAGAUGAAAUAAAUUGUAAUAGAUCAAUGGAGAGAUGUAAAGUGCAUUUAGAAAAUUUGGAGUAGGAAAGAUCAUCACUUUUUGUGCAUCCCAUGUGCUCAUUAGGUUUUAUCUCAGACUUUAAUUAUUUUGUAUAUCUUAUCUUACUUUAGUAAGCUUCUUUAAGACAGUGUGUCUUAUUUCUCUUUGUCUUUUCUCCAAUAACCAGAGACUUAAAUAGAUAUUUGUAUAGAAUGACUCUCUAGAAGAGAUAUAGAGGAAAAUUUUAGAUGAUGUGAAAACAAGAUAUCAUUAAAAUAAGAUUUUUACAAGAUAAACUUUUGGGGAAAAUGUAUUCAUAAGAGGACUUGUUUGAGUCAUUGACAAGUUUUCAUUCUGUCAAAAAAUGUAUUCAUAAGAUAAAAUAAAACAAAACUAAAUCAAUGGGGGAGGUCAAAUAGUUAGAAAACUAAAUCUUAAGAGGUACCAAGAACUACCUACUAAAAAGUGUACUUCUCAAAAGAAAAACUGAAUAGCCUCCAUUGGAAGCCCUUUCAGCAUAAUUUUGAUCAUGUUUUAGUUCUGCAGAGAGAUUCUCUUCACUUCAAAUGCAAAACUCCAUAGUCUUCCUGAAUAAAUAUGAAUAAAAAUGCACUGACAACAACCAAGUAUAGGCCAUUUUCUCUACUUCAACUCCAGCCAUGUUGAUCUAUUUUAUACCAAAAGUACUAAAGUAUUUUCCUUUUGCAAUAGAUGCUCCUUCUUUUAGAAAAGUGGGUGCUCAUCACCACCCACUAAACUGGCCCCAUGUUUUCUUUGCUAACUGCAAAGACAAUUAUGUGUAUAUUCUAAGGCUGGCUAUAGAAUGCUAGCACAUGUUUUGAUUUGGCAGAAACCAAAUGCCUAGGAAGGCAUAAAAAUAAUACAAUUAUAUAGUACUUCAGGGCUAAAAAGGGAUUGCAUUGCUUUGAUCUUACUUGAUCCUUACAAUGACAUUGUUGUGUAACUAGUAGUUCGAAUAUCAUUAUUCUCAUUUUUAUUUACUUAGUCAGGGUUAAAUGCUAAUUUGAGUGAUCUGUGGCAGACAACCUCUUGUUGUUAGUAUCAUGAUCCUUUAAGGUAAACCUUUUGAUUCCAUUCAAUUAGAAAAGCAUAUAGUAAGCACCUCAUAGGUACCAGAUGAUAUUAGGGACUAAGGAUACAAAGGUAGAAGUAAAAGAGGCUUGCUGUCAAGAAACUUACAUUCUACCUCUCCCAUAAUAAGAGAAAAAUGUUUUGAGUUUUGUAGAGAAAACAAGGUAAAAGGCUUGUUUAUCAAAGGCAUCAGAAUAAAUGCCCGAAGCAUCAAACUCAACUGUCUAUAGAACUGGUCAUAUAAAAAAUUUGAGAAUAUUUAAUAUAGGAAAAGCAGUUAAGAAGUUUUUGUUCAGUCAUGUCCAACUCUUCAUGUUCCCAUUUGAGGUUUUCCUGGUGAAAAUAUUGGAAUGGUCAGCCAUUUCCUUUUCCAGUUCGUUUUACAAAUGAGGAAACAGAGGCAAACAGGGUUAAGUGAUUUACCCAGGGUCAUGAAGCUAGGUUGGAUUGAGGUUGAAUUUGAAUUCAGGUCUUUCUGACUCCAGGUUUGGUUCUCUAUCCACUUCGCCCCUACCUGCCCCACAAUUGGAAAGAUAGGAACAUCUAUUGGUCCAACAUGAAAAAAACUCAGCCCCAAAGAAGAUACAAAAAAAAGUACCUCUUUUCCUUCUUUACAAAGGUGUAGGACUAUGGGUGCUAAAUAUUGCAUAUAACGUGAAAUUUAGAAUGAUUAAUUUUUCUAAAGUGCCUUUAAAAAAAACAAAACAAAAUAAAACAAAGAAUGGGUCACUGAAAUGGAAGGCCUGGGGGAGAAGAGUGACAUUCAGAAAUGAAAGUGAUUUAAAAUCAAAAGAUGUCAAUAAAAAUAAAAAAUAAAAUAAAAAACCGAAAUCGAAUGAGCUGCAUUUGAAUUUCCUUUUUGUCCAUGGUUUUGCCUUCACUUUUAGUAUGACUUGAGGAGCAGAUUGCAUGAGCUUUCGGUGGAAAAGGGCAAGAAAAAGAAUUCUGAGAUCUUGGAGCUGAGAAGAGACCUUAAAGAACACCAACUUCAAAUUCCAUUCUCUAUAAAUGAGGAAUCCUGAAAUCCUCUGAACCCUUCUUGGAAUUGGAGUCAAGGAUAGAAUUCUCUUGAGAUGAACCACUGCUGGACUGUUCUGGCCAGCAGUUAGGAGAUGGGAUUACUUCUGAUAUUAGAGACCUGAUGUGUGAUUGUUGAAGAAGAUUUCGAGUGAAGAUUAAAGCUACCUUUUCAAGAAGUACAUAUUUCCUUACAUUUUAAGAUAGAAGUUGUGAAAGGUGAUCUGCUUUUUCCUACUAAUAUCCUUUAAGAGAUGAAUAAAACUCAGUGGAGUAUGGGGUGGAGAGAAAAGGAAAGGAGUAGAAAAUUUCAUACAGAUCAACCUAUACCUACCAUUGUAAUCAACUCUUUUACAAUGAAAAUUGUAUGCUUAACAGAGAUAUCUGGAGAAUUGGAUUCAGAAGGUAUAACCCAGGAAGAAAAACAAAGAUGCAAGCAGUUUAUAUUCAUUUCCCAGUGUUCUUUCUUUGGGUGUAGCUGCUUCUGUCAAUCCUUGAUCAAUUGAAACUGAAUUAGCUCUCUUUAUCGAAGAGAUCCACUUCCAUCAGAAUACAUCCUCAAACAGUAUCAUUGUUGAAGUAUAUAAUGAUCUCCUGGUUCUGCUCAUUUCACUGAGCAUCAGUUCAUGUAAGUCUUCAUGCAUAUGUUUUUUAAAAUAAAAAAAAAAACUUUAAUAAAAAAGUAAACUUCUAAAAAAAAAAACAACAACCAAAACCAAAGAACACUUUGUAAUGCCGGAGAAACUGAGGCAGGAGAGAGAUUAGAGAGUUUUAAUAUUUUUAUUAAUGGGAGAAUAAGAUUGACUGGACAGGACUCUAGUCUCAGAUUAUCCAGUCAGACAAAGAUAAGUAUACUGGGACUAAGGAAUUCAUGUUGGUCCCAGGGCUGGAGGAGACCAGCAUACAACUGCCAGCUGCCAUACUCCAGCAAUGAAUGGAGGAACCCCAACUUCUUAAAUACCUUUUUGGAGACAAAGAAAAGAAAGGGAGGGAAAGUUUUUAUCAGGGAGGGGAAGCCAUAAAACCCUAAAAAAUCCGGAGACAGGAUGUUUGAAUACAAAGAAGUAAAGAUAUUUUGGGUUAUCUUGGAAUAUUUAAAGGAAUAUUGUAAAUCCUUGAGGAUACAAAACAGUCAGGAAUCUACUCUUUUAUCUUGCUAAUUUAUAACCCGAGAGCGAAUAAUCCUUAGUUUUACUGGGUCAGAGACAGAACAGUUAAGGAAACUGGGACAAGGGAAACUUGUACAGGGAAACUGAGUCAGGACAGUUAAAGAGAACUGUGGCAUAACAACUUCUCGCUGAUGAGAGAGUUUGUAUCUAGCCUGUUUCAUGCCUUCCGGCCCCACCUUCCACCUGAGGGAUAAAUUCCUUGGGCCUGAGCUUCUUUUACUUCAUCCUCUAUUCUGCUUGCUUGGCUGUUUCAAAUGAAUAAUCCCAGUCCCUUCAGGUGAGAAGGUUGUCCGCUGCCUGGUUGAAGUACAGAGCUGAUCUGGGGGAUGAGGAUGGGGAGUGAGUUUGACAGCAGUGGUUCUGGACUUUCAGAGCCUGACUCUAAAUUCCUCAGCUUCACCCGCCCUAUGAAUUGAAAGAAUAUCAGUGAUAACUUAUUGUCAUAACCUGCUGGUUGGUCUCCCAGCCUCAGUCUCUCUCCAUUGUACUCUGUCUCCAUCCACCUAUCAAACUGAUCAUAAGCACAUCAUGUUAUGUCCCUAUCAUUUCUUCUCACCUCCUACCUCCUGUCAAUACAUCAGUGGCUCCCUAUUACUUUCAGGAUCAAAUAUGACAUUUUGUUUGACUUGGGAAGCCUUGCGUAAUCUGGCUCCUUUCUACCUUUCCCAUCCUCUUACACAUUACUCAUGCCCGCACACUCACUUCGGGGCAUUUAAGUGGCUAUCCCUAUGCCUAGGAUUCUCUUCCUUCUCAUCUUUGCCUCUUGACUUUCUUUGGCUCUCAGCUAAAAUUCCACCUUCCAUAAGAAGCCUUUCCCUGCUCCCUUAAUAAUGAUGUCCUCCUUCUGAGAUUACUCCCAAUUUAUCCUGCAUAGUUCUUGUUUGUACAUAGUCGGUAUAUUGUCUCCCCAUCCCACUCUGAUUUUUUGCCUUUCUUUCACUGUGAAGCUACGGACCCCUAAGAAAGCGACACUGUGUACAGUUUAUAUGUGGAGAGACUGGAAAGAGAAAAGUGGAUAAAGAUGGAGGGCAAGAGGCAAAGUGCAAACCUUAAUGGCAGAUGGAAGAUCUCCAGAGCUUAGAUACAUGAAAAAAACUAGCCUCCUAACAUGUCCCUUAAUUCCCAGUAAUUGCCCUCUCACGGACUACUAAGAGCACAAUCUCUAUUCAGAUUAUUCUCUCUGAUUAAGCUAAAAUGUUCUCUCUCUAAUCUAAUUUGUAUAACUUUCCUACAACUGUUUUACUAUUUGUAUUUACUACUUGAUAAAUAUGUUUACUUUCUAUCCAUGAUUAUCUUGCGUGUAAUAAAAGGGUGGAAUACUCAGCGAGGUUGCCAGGGUCAGCUUCUCCAUAGUCUGACUUUUUUUUUCUUCUUUUAGGAAUUAUAUUGCUUUUAGCUGCUUCCUUCCUUUGAUAACUGUCUGUAGCUGUCUCUGUCUACAAGGCAUGACUGCUCUUUAAAAUGUUCUUUCUCCUACUGAUCCUAUUGGAUCAGUGUUUCCUGCUUUUCCUACUGGAACUGAUUGUAGUUCCAAUCAAAUGGCCAGUGUAGAGAAGGAGAGAAACUCUUCACCCUCAAUUGAUGCCCCCUGGUAUAAAUAAAAUGCCAAAAUUGCCUCCAGCUCUUGAAUUCUUUAACUUAUCUAAGGGCCAAUCAUUUAGAGCCUCCAGAAAUGUGGUUUAUUUGCUUGCUCAUCCCAUCACACUGUUCUCUUUCACAAUCCAAUCAGAGAAAUAUCUGAGUUUCAUAAAAGGGAUUGGUGGUCAUUAAGUACAUCUUAUUCAUACAUUAAAACCUACCUCAUCAUGGAAAACUACAAUCUGUAUUACAUCAAUUGGGGGAAACCUGUCCCUUACUCAUUUUCUUUUUAUUUUACUUACUCAUGUUCUUGGUAUCCCCGUAGAAUCUAAGUUCCCUGAAGGCAAAGAAUAUUGUAUUUUUGUCUUUGUAUUCCAAUUCUUUUUUUUAAUAUAAGGCAGACUUGUAUUUUAUUUCAUUAUUUCAUUAAUUUUUAAAUUUGGUUGUUAGGGAAAAAAACCACUAACUAGAUAGUGAAUUCAAAGAACAGGGUUCUAAUCUAAUUUUUCUCAAUAAUUCAGCAGUUCAGCAUUUAUUACUCACCUAGUAUGAGUCAGAACUUAUGCCAGGUUCCAGGAAUUGUGUAUUCCAAUUCUUAGCAAAAUGCUUGGUCUAUGCUAGAUACUUAAUAAAUGUUUGGUGACUUGAAGUAGUGGCUGUAAACCUGUCUAGGGAAAGUUCCUCUGGGAUGGGAGUCUAUGGGAUCCCCUUCAAGACCACUACUGCAGGGCUUCAGAAUCAUAAGACCUUCUUGGAGGAAAAGUUCAAAAAGUUGUCCUUGCUCAUUGAUAAGUUUUAAAAAUAGAGUAUUGCAUGGAUUCAAGACAGGCACUUCUUAAGUAAAAUAUGACCUUGGAAGCACACAAGUGUGAAAAACGAAAGGCAAACACUAUUUUUAUUUUAUUUUAUUUUUUUGCUGAGGCAGUUGGGGGUAAGUGACUUGCCCAGGGUCACACAGCUAGAAUGUGUUAAGCGACGGGGACUAGAUUCGCACUCAGGUCCUCCUGCCUUCAGGGCCGGUGCUCCCCAAGCGCUCCUCCUGGAUCCGAAAGGGGCCAUGCUCCGAAGUCAGUUAUGUAAGGAAGCUCCGCCCGCCCACCCUGCAAACUCUCCUGUUCACCUGGAGUCCGGCUCAUGCAGGUUUGCCCAGAUCCUCCUUAGUGUGAUCUCAUUUCUGCUUCAUCCAUCUCACUCUCUGCCUUCUGCCCCAACACGUUCCUUCACUCAUGUCUCCCUCCCACAUUCUCUCCCCGCCGCCAUCUGUCCAGAGCCAUAACCAGCGAUGCGAGCACCUGGCCGGGCGGCCUGAAAUGCCCCAUUGUAGAGAUGUAAGGUCAGGGAGAGAGCAGGCGCUGACAUCCCCGUUGUAAGCUGUCCUUCUGCCAGCCCAGCCCUGACAUGUGAGUGCAUUAUCCAUGUGCCUGCCCAAAACAUGGCAUCUUCCCAACACUUUCUGUUUUCUUCUCUGAGCCCACAACGAGCCCGAGAAAUGGAUAUUUGCAGCCCCGCGGUAACCUCACAAUGUCAGAGACCGAGAUCCGGAUCGGGAGCCAACUGCCCAGCAGGAGGAGGUUGCCACAAUCAGCGGGGAGAACAAGUGUGGCCCCCACGGGAGAAGGGCUGGGGAAAGCCUGAGGGGAAUGGGUGGAACAACAGCCGAAAGGAUUCAGAAAGUCCAAACCGUGAGGGGCCGGCCAGGAAAUCUGUCCCUUUGGCCUGUUCAGGCAGGGCUGGUGUGAAACGAAAGGUUAAUAUUUCAGCAAUCCUCCAUAACUGUUUUUCCCUUUUGGGGGUAGUUUUAUGUGUGUGAUGGGGUAUUGUUUUAAGUUUCUAUUAUUGUUAAUGCUCCUUUAGAUGUCUUCUGGGUUUUAGGGAUUUUCAGUGGUGGAGGAAAUAAAUCAGCAUUCUAUGUCUGACUCCAUAUAGUACAAUGAAUACCUUGGGUGAUUCUCUAGACAUAAACCAUACUAUUUAUUAUUAUUAUUAUAU
Long non-coding RNA from Antechinus flavipes (yellow-footed antechinus), 6954 nucleotides. RefSeq lists it as uncharacterized. The record is from RefSeq and is a predicted model, not a curated record. The transcript is spliced from 5 exons. NCBI's taxonomy places the organism in Eukaryota, Metazoa, Chordata, Mammalia, Dasyuromorphia, Dasyuridae.